RNAcentral lists this ribosomal RNA (429 nucleotides) under Bacteroidota bacterium. Its description in RNAcentral is "Bacteroidetes bacterium partial 16S ribosomal RNA". It matches the Rfam family "Bacterial small subunit ribosomal RNA", at positions 355 to 776 of the family's 1533-position model. The record is from RNAcentral. Lineage: Bacteria; Pseudomonadati; Bacteroidota.
UAGGGAAUCUUCGGCAAUGGGGGGAACCCUGACCGAGCAACGCCGCGUGAGUGAAGAAGGUUUUCGGAUCGUAAAGCUCUGUUGUUAAGGAAGAACGAGCGUGAGAAUGGAAAGUUCAUGCUGUGACGGUACUUAACCAGAAAGGGACGGCUAACUACGUGCCAGCAGCCGCGGUAAUACGUAGGUCCCGAGCGUUGUCCGGAUUUAUUGGGCGUAAAGCGAGCGCAGGCGGUUAGAAAAGUCUGAAGUGAAAGGCAGUGGCUCAACCAUUGUAGGCUUUGGAAACUGUUUAACUUGAGUGCAGAAGGGGAGAGUGGAAUUCCAUGUGUAGCGGUGAACUGCGUAGAUAUAUGGAGGAACACCGGUGGCGAAAGCGGCUCUCUGGUCUGUAACUGACGCUGAGGCUCGAAAGCGUGGGGAGCGAACAGG